ACAGCAGCAGCCGCGGUAAUACGAAGGGUGCAAGCGUUAAUCGGAAUUACUGGGCGUAAAGCGUGCGUAGGCGGUGAGUUAAGUCUGCUGUGAAAUCCCCGGGCUCAACCUGGGAAUGGCAGUGGAUACUGGCUCGCUAGAGUGUGUCAGAGGAUGGUGGAAUUCCCGGUGUAGCGGUGAAAUGCGUAGAGAUCGGGAGGAACAUCAGUGGCGAAGGCGGCCAUCUGGGACAACACUGACGCUGAGGCACGAAAGCGUGGGGAGCAAACAGGAUUAGAUACCCGGGUAGUCCCUGUCUCUUAUAC
Molecule: ribosomal RNA, 305 nt
Filed under: uncultured bacterium
Lineage: Bacteria
Description: partial 16S ribosomal RNA
Rfam family: Bacterial small subunit ribosomal RNA
Source: RNAcentral